RNAcentral lists this ribosomal RNA (378 nucleotides) under Monacha cartusiana. RNAcentral's name for it is "partial large subunit ribosomal RNA". It matches the Rfam family "Bacterial large subunit ribosomal RNA", at positions 1917 to 2601 of the family's 2925-position model. The record is from RNAcentral. Lineage: Eukaryota; Metazoa; Mollusca; Gastropoda; Stylommatophora; Hygromiidae.
GAGAAUUUAAAUAGCCGCAGUACCCUGACUGUGCAAAGGUAGCAUAAUCAGUUGGCUUAUAAUUGAAGUCUAGUAUGAAUGGGAACACGGGAAUAUUCUGUCUUUAAUAUAUAAAAAGAAAUUACUAAUUAAGUGAAAAUUCUUAAAAGUAAGAAAAUAGACGAGAAGACCCUAGAAAUUUUUUUAAUUUGAUUUUGUUGGGGCGACAGGGUAACAAAAAACUUACCUAAAGUAAUAGGAAAUUUUUUAGUGGUGUAAUUAAAUUACUCUAGGGAUAACAGCAUAAUAUUUUAAAGGUUGUGACCUCGAUGUUGGACUAGGAAAUACACUACUUAAAAGGUAGUGUUUAUGGUUCUGUUCGAACUUUUACUCCUACAU